GAAUAUAAAAUUUUGCUUUAUGUCUUAUUCAAAACCAAAAUUAAUAAGAGACUUAGGCUACAUUUGGUUCGGAUAUAAAUAAGAACUGCUUAUUGCAGGAAUAAGUACAAGUUUAGAUAUAAACAUAAAUUAAACCAAUUUUGCGUUUGGAUAAAAAUUAUAUUGUUUCUUUGAAUAAGGUAAUUAAAUACUGUUGGGAUGGUUAUACUGGAACAAGAAAAAUAAGAGUUAUAAUUUUAAAUUAAAAUUAUUUUAUCUAAUUAAUUAACAUCAAAAUAUUACUUAAAAUUAAUUUAAUAAAUUUAAAAAUUUAUUAGGUGUGAAUAUUAUAUAAGAUAUUAAAUAUAUAUUAACUAAUUAAAUAAAUAUAAAAAAUAAUUUAACUUAUAAAUUAAUUAGUAAAUUAUUUUAGUUAGAUAACUAGUAAAAAAAUUAAUUAGAUUAAUAAAAAUAUUAAUAGUUGAUCAAUAUAAAUAUUAGUUUAUAGGUAAACAUAUUAAAUUAUUAAUAAAGGGAGAAAAGGGCUUAUUCCCUCAUUAAUUAUUUCCAAACCAAACACCGCCUUACAAUGUAACCAACUUUCACUUGCUCUCUACAAAAAAAUUUUAAAAAGAAUUAUAAAA
RNAcentral lists this long non-coding RNA (623 nucleotides) under Ananas comosus (pineapple). RNAcentral's name for it is "long non-coding RNA (ACOM_LNC012422)". Lineage: Eukaryota; Viridiplantae; Streptophyta; Magnoliopsida; Poales; Bromeliaceae. The record is from RNAcentral.